This 312-nucleotide long non-coding RNA is filed under the name Nicotiana benthamiana. RNAcentral's name for it is "long non-coding RNA (NBEN_LNC040552)". The record is from RNAcentral. Lineage: Eukaryota; Viridiplantae; Streptophyta; Magnoliopsida; Solanales; Solanaceae.
CCGCACCUAUCCCUUAUCUUAGACCUAACCUUUUCGGCGAAUAGAGGAGGAAGACCGCUAAUAAACCUAUCUUUCCAGAAGUCGCUAUUGCAGUCGGGUCUAGUCAUGAUUUUGACCAUAAAUUGGUCUUUAUACCACCUAAAAUCACUAAGUUUAGGGCAACGCAGGUUGUUCAGGAUUUCAAGACUUCUAUCCUGAAAGAGCUUUGGUUCACCAACAAAGUGUUUCGUACACAGGUUGUUCAAGAUUUCAAGACUUCUCUCCUGAAAGAGCUUUGGUUCACCAACAAAGUGUUUCGCAAUGUGGUAAAGC